This 462-nucleotide ribosomal RNA is filed under the name Paromenia isabellina. RNAcentral describes it as "partial 16S ribosomal RNA". Lineage: Eukaryota; Metazoa; Arthropoda; Insecta; Hemiptera; Cicadellidae. The record is from RNAcentral.
UAGUAUUUUUAUUAAAGGUAUAUUCUGCCCUAUGAUUAUUUAAAUGGCUGCAGUAUUCUGACUGUGCAAAGGUAGCAUAAUAAUUAGUCUUUUAAUUGAAGGCUUGUAUGAAUGAAUUAAUGAGAAACUUAUUUUAUAAUUUAUAUUUUUAUAAUUUAAUUUUUAAGUAAAAAAGCUUAACUUUUUUUCUGGGACGAUAAGACCCUAUAGAACUUUAUUUUAUUUUGAUUAUAGUCUUUUUUAGUUUAUUUGUUGGUCUUUAUUUAAAUAAUUUUUUGUUGGGGUGAUAAAUAAAUUUUAAUACUUUAUUUAAUUUUUUCAUUUAUUUAUGUUUUUAUGAUCCAUUUUCAUGAUUUUAAGAUUAAGUUACCUUAGGGAUAACAGCGUAAUUUUAAUGAGGAGUUCUUAUUUAUAUUAAAGUUUGCGACCUCGAUGUUGAAUUAAGAUAAAAUUUGGGGGCAG